Molecule: ribosomal RNA, 829 nt
Filed under: Lactiplantibacillus plantarum
Lineage: Bacteria; Bacillati; Bacillota; Bacilli; Lactobacillales; Lactobacillaceae
Description: bacterial SSU rRNA
Rfam family: Bacterial small subunit ribosomal RNA
Source: RNAcentral
GCUAGAGACGCUGGCGGCGUGCCUAAUACAUGCAAGUCGAACGAACUCUGGUAUUGAUUGGUGCUUGCAUCAUGAUUUACAUUUGAGUGAGUGGCGAACUGGUGAGUAACACGUGGGAAACCUGCCCAGAAGCGGGGGAUAACACCUGGAAACAGAUGCUAAUACCGCAUAACAACUUGGACCGCAUGGUCCGAGCUUGAAAGAUGGCUUCGGCUAUCACUUUUGGAUGGUCCCGCGGCGUAUUAGCUAGAUGGUGGGGUAACGGCUCACCAUGGCAAUGAUACGUAGCCGACCUGAGAGGGUAAUCGGCCACAUUGGGACUGAGACACGGCCCAAACUCCUACGGGAGGCAGCAGUAGGGAAUCUUCCACAAUGGACGAAAGUCUGAUGGAGCAACGCCGCGUGAGUGAAGAAGGGUUUCGGCUCGUAAAACUCUGUUGUUAAAGAAGAACAUAUCUGAGAGUAACUGUUCAGGUAUUGACGGUAUUUAACCAGAAAGCCACGGCUAACUACGUGCCAGCAGCCGCGGUAAUACGUAGGUGGCAAGCGUUGUCCGGAUUUAUUGGGCGUAAAGCGAGCGCAGGCGGUUUUUUAAGUCUGAUGUGAAAGCCUUCGGCUCAACCGAAGAAGUGCAUCGGAAACUGGAAAACUUGAGUGCAGAAGAGGACAGUGGAACUCCAUGUGUAGCGGUGAAAUGCGUAGAUAUAUGGAAGAACACCAUUGGCGAAGGCGGCUGUCUGGUCUGUAACUGAACGCUGAAGCUCGAAAGUAUGGGGUAGAAAACAGGAUUAGAUACCAUGGUAGUCCAAUACAGUAGACGAUGAAUGCG